ACGGAAGGCAGCAGUGGGGAAUAUUGCACAAUGGGGGAAACCCUGAUGCAGCGACGCCGCGUGAGUGGAGAAGUAUUUCGGUAUGUAAAGCUCUAUCAGCAGGAAAGAAAAUGACGGUACCUGACUAAGAAGCCCCGGCUAACUACGUGCCAGCAGCCGCGGUAAUACGUAGGGGGCAAGCGUUAUCCGGAUUUACUGGGUGUAAAGGGAGCGUAGACGGCUUUGCAAGUCUGAAGUGAAAGCCCGGGGCUCAACCCCGGAACUGCUUUGGAAACUGUAGAGCUAGAGUGCAGGAGAGGUAAGUGGAAUUCCUAGUGUAGCGGUGAAAUGCGUAGAUAUUAGGAGGAACACCAGUGGCGAAGGCGGCUUACUGGACUGUAACUGACGUUGAGGCUCGAAGGCGUGGGGAGCAAACAGGAUUAGAUACCCUGGUA
RNAcentral lists this ribosomal RNA (434 nucleotides) under uncultured Lachnospiraceae bacterium. Its description in RNAcentral is "partial 16S ribosomal RNA". It matches the Rfam family "Bacterial small subunit ribosomal RNA", at positions 341 to 792 of the family's 1533-position model. Lineage: Bacteria; Bacillati; Bacillota; Clostridia; Lachnospirales; Lachnospiraceae. The record is from RNAcentral.